CUCAAUGUCAGCCUUAGGAAGGGUAACAUCCACAUCUGGGCCCUCUCCUUUGAAUCCUGGCAUGCUGAAUUUGGGCAUUUUCACCUUGGGCAUCUUCAGGUGCCAGUCUGGGCCUCGAACAUCCACAUCUGGGGCAUUAAUAUCCACUUUGGGGCCUUUAAUAUCCAAGUCAGGAACUUGCAUGUCACCUUCCACUUUUGGCAGAGACACAUCCAUAUCACCCUUCACUUUGGGUCCUUUCAGGUUAAGAUCAAUGUCAGGCAUGGAGAUCUUGGGGGCUUUGAUGUUCAUCUCAGGCAUUUUGAAUUUGGGACCUUUCAACUUUCCCUCUGGGCCUUCGAUAUUCACAUCUGGAACAUCAAUGUCCACCUUGGGUCCUGAGACAUCAAGGUCAGCCUUGGGCAGGUUCA
RNAcentral lists this long non-coding RNA (410 nucleotides) under Homo sapiens (human). RNAcentral's name for it is "HSALNT0176131". Lineage: Eukaryota; Metazoa; Chordata; Mammalia; Primates; Hominidae. The record is from RNAcentral.